This 67-nucleotide transfer RNA is filed under the name Enterococcus phage 163. RNAcentral describes it as "tRNA-Pseudo-ATG". It matches the Rfam family "tRNA". From Rfam's summary of the family: Transfer RNA (tRNA) molecules are approximately 80 nucleotides in length. RNAcentral also lists the same sequence under 2 other names. The record is from RNAcentral. Lineage: Duplodnaviria; Heunggongvirae; Uroviricota; Caudoviricetes; Herelleviridae.
GUAUGCGUAGCUUAAGUGGAUAAAGUGACCUAUGAAGUAGAUAGGGGUUCAAAUCCCCUCGCAUAUC